GGCCUCCCCGUUCACCUCCCAGAGGCUGCCACUUUCUUCAGGGCUAGCAGAUGAAGGCAGCAAGGAAAACACCACCACAAGACCGACUUUAGGCUGGAGCUGAUGAUGCCACACGGCAAAUCAGCAAGAAAAAAGAAAAUAGACUCAGAAAUGAAACUCAACUAAAGGUAAAAGAUGUCUGGAACAUCUCCAAGAAAGCCAGAGUCAGCCUCUAAACUUUGCAUCAAGAAUGGCAAUGGCUUCCCUGAGGGCCCAGGGACGCUUGGCAGCUGUGAGGGAUCCCCUUCUCUGCUAUCAAGGAACUGGACACUUCUCCUGUCCCUUCCCACAAGGUAUAAUAUUAGGCAGAAACCCAAUUUAAAAAGAAAAGCAGAGCUGUUGUAGAUUCAGCGAGGGUUGGCGACCUGGUUCCAAUGAGCCAUCUCCCUGUUCCGACAGGGGCUUCCUGGAGCUCCUGCAACCCCAGGCAUUAGUUCCAGUGCAGUUCUAGGAUCAGAUCAAUUCACUCGACAACAAGAGAAACAAAUGGAGAUUCCUACACAAAGACUUUCAAGCACAAAGAAAUCCUGCUGCCUAUAAAGCAGAGCUGCCUCAGCUCUUGAUGAACGACAGAAAAUACCACCUACUGCCAGACCUCUUCGCCUCACAAAACUCUCACCCACCUACUGCUUUUAGCUCAAAUUCCAGGAAUUCAGAUGAAGUGAAGUGCUCUCAUGGGGACCAGGCGUGGGUAUGCCAGUCCACUGCCCUGCAAGUCUCAAGGGAAACCAACUGCCCAUCAGCAAGUCACACCUGCCUUGGUGGAGG
Molecule: long non-coding RNA, 807 nt
Filed under: Pongo abelii (Sumatran orangutan)
Lineage: Eukaryota; Metazoa; Chordata; Mammalia; Primates; Hominidae
Description: lincRNA
Source: RNAcentral